This 986-nucleotide unclassified non-coding RNA is filed under the name Hevea brasiliensis (rubber tree). The record is from RNAcentral. Lineage: Eukaryota; Viridiplantae; Streptophyta; Magnoliopsida; Malpighiales; Euphorbiaceae.
AGUGAUAUUCGUCCAUGGUGGAUAAAACAUCACUACUGUGCUAUGGCCAUGGCACUUAUAAGUCUUACCUGGGAAAUAGAAAGAGAACCUAACUGUUCACAGAAGCAGAGGGGUGUGCAACUGUUCCUGAAAUGGGCUAUCAUGCAAGGUGUUGCAAUGCUCCUUCAGAAUAGAUAUCAGAGACAAAGACUGUACACUCGUAUUGCAUUAGGAAAGGCCAGGAGAAUGGAUGUUGUGUGGGGAGAGACUGCUGGAGUAGAUGGUCAAUUAUUGUUGCUCUUCCCUGUACUAUUUAUCUUGCAGGGAUUUGAAGCAUAUGUUGGAGUCUUGUUGCUUAAGACAGCAUUCAUUGGUGUUGUUUCUGAGUGGCAGGUUGUUACCUGUGGGAUCCUUCUGAUUAUCAUGGCGGCUGGGAAUUUUGCCAACACAGUGAAGACUCUUGUGACAAAGUCUCGUGUUAAAGCCAAAAUGAAGAGAGGUAAAAGUAAACAAGAUCUGAAAUCUGAAUCUCCCGCCAAAAGUUCGUGAUCGGGUGUGUCUGGUCCAGUCUAGUAUCCUGGCUAUGACAGACGAAGAUGCGAAGUUAUUCUUCAUAUACCCUUUUUCUCGUUCAUAUGAGUAAGCACCAUAAUGCUUCUCUCACACUGACUUUGGGCUUCAGAGGAUAGUUGCCGGAAAUAGUCGCGCAUGCAGUCCCCCAAGGAAUGAUUUUGUUUGGUUCUUUAUGUUUUGAGUGUUUUCUUGUCUCGUUCUAAAAAAUUUAUGAUGGGAAGGGAUAUGUCUACGUUAGAAGAACUUUGACCGUUAGUUAUUUCCCUUGUUACCAAAUUUUGGUACUACUUAAAUAUUAACGAUAAUUGUAAGCAGCAGAUGAGCAAAGCCUUGUAUGGUUUUUACUUGAAGACUUGCUCUGACGUGUGCCUCCUUAUUUUGGGUAUGUAUCUGUUCUAUUCACACUAAUAAUGCAUGUUAGGGAGUCUUUUCCA